This is a non-coding RNA of Pelobacter propionicus DSM 2379, 158 nucleotides long. NCBI's taxonomy places the organism in Bacteria, Pseudomonadati, Thermodesulfobacteriota, Desulfuromonadia, Desulfuromonadales, Desulfuromonadaceae. The record is from Rfam.
GUCUCUGCGAGGAGCCGUCCGUGAGGAAGCCCGAGCGCAAAGCUAUGAGCCGACGGACAGAAACAGCAUACAAGGCCGUCAUCCGGGCAAGCCAGCACCACAUGACGAAGUCCCAUGGAUGUUGUCAAUGGUAGUGCAAUAAUGUCCCAAAAGCGGUA